RNAcentral lists this ribosomal RNA (386 nucleotides) under uncultured bacterium. Its description in RNAcentral is "bacterial SSU rRNA". It matches the Rfam family "Bacterial small subunit ribosomal RNA", at positions 28 to 418 of the family's 1533-position model. The record is from RNAcentral.
GACGAACGCUGGCGGCGUGCUUAACACAUGCAAGUCGAGCGGUAAGGCCCUUCGGGUACGACGAGCGGCGAACGGGUGAGUAACACGUGGGUGACCUGCCUCUAGCUCUGGGAUAAGCCUGGGAAACUGGGUCUAAUACCGGAUAUGACUCCACGGCGCAUGUUGUGGGGUGGAAAGCCUUGUGUGGCUAGAGAUGGGCCCGCGGCCUAUCAGCUUGUUGGUGGGGUGAUGGCCUACCAAGGCGACGACGGGUAGCCGGCCUGAGAGGCGACCGGCCACACUGGGACUGAGACACGGCCCAGACUCCUACGGGAGGCAGCAGUGGGGAAUCUUGCGCAAUGGGCGAAAGCCUGACGCAGCGACGCCGCGUGAGGGAUGACGGCCUC